GUCCCCGUGGCCUAGUGGAUAGCGCUUCUGUUUUAAAAACUUUCAUCGCGGGUUCGAACCCCACCGGGGGUA
This is a non-coding RNA of Caenorhabditis brenneri, 72 nucleotides long. Lineage: Eukaryota; Metazoa; Nematoda; Chromadorea; Rhabditida; Rhabditidae. The record is from Rfam.